AGUGAACGCUGGCGGUAGGCCUAACACAUGCAAGUCGAACGGCAGCACAGUAAGAGCUUGCUCUUACGGGUGUCGAGUGGCGGACGGGUGAGGAAUACAGCGGAAUCUACUUUUUCGUGGGGGAGAACGUAGGGAAACUUACGCUAAUACCGCAUACGACCUACGGGUGAAAGCAGGGGAUCUUCGGACCUUGCGCGAUUGAAUGAGCCGAUGUCGGAUUAGCUAGUUGGCGGGGUAAAGGCCCACCAAGGCGACGAUCCGUAGCUGGUCUGAGAGGAUGAUCAGCCACACUGGAACUGAGACACGGUCCAGACUCCUACGGGAGGCAGCAGUGGGGAAUAUUGGACAAUGGGCGCAAGCCUGAUCCAGCCAUACCGCGUGGGUGAAGAAGGCCUUCGGGUUUUAAAGCCCUUUUGUUGGGAAAGAAAAGCAGCAGGUUAAUACCCCGCUGUUCUGACGGUACCCAAAGAAUAAGCACCGGCUAACUUCGUG
This 492-nucleotide ribosomal RNA is filed under the name uncultured bacterium. Its description in RNAcentral is "partial 16S ribosomal RNA". It matches the Rfam family "Bacterial small subunit ribosomal RNA", at positions 29 to 507 of the family's 1533-position model. The record is from RNAcentral.